Molecule: ribosomal RNA, 443 nt
Filed under: uncultured bacterium
Lineage: Bacteria
Description: partial 16S ribosomal RNA
Rfam family: Bacterial small subunit ribosomal RNA
Source: RNAcentral
CCUACGGGUGGCAGCAGUGAGGAAUAUUGCACAAUGGGCGCAAGCCUGAUGCAGCAACGCCGCGUGAGCGAAGAAGGUCUUCGGAUCGUAAAGCUCUGUCCUUGAGGAAGAAGGAAGUGACGGUACUCAAGGAGGAAGCCCCGGCUAAAUACGUGCCAGCAGCCGCGGUAAUACGUAGGGGGCAAGCGUUAUCCGGAUUUACUGGGUGUAAAGGGGGCGCAGACGGCAAUGCAAGCCAGGAGUGAAAGCCCGGGGCCCAACACCGGGACUGCUCUUGGAACUGCAUGGCUGGAGUACAGGAGGGGCAGGCGGAAUUCCUAGUGUAGCGGUGAAAUGCGUAGAUAGUAGGAGGAACACCGGUGGCGAAGGCGGCCUGCUGGACUGUGACUGACGUUGAGGCCCGAAGGCGUGGGGAGCAAACAGGAUUAGAUACCCCUGUAGUC